Pollicipes pollicipes is the source of this 236-nucleotide long non-coding RNA. RefSeq lists it as uncharacterized. NCBI's taxonomy places the organism in Eukaryota, Metazoa, Arthropoda, Thecostraca, Pollicipedomorpha, Pollicipedidae. The record is from RefSeq and is a predicted model, not a curated record. The transcript has 3 exons.
GCCCCUCCCUCCCUGGUGCCGCCGCGCGCAUCGUUUAACAGGCCCGACGCGGCGUCGCUGCAGUCUUCGAUUCGUGCUCGCUGAAGAUCAAAAUAUGAGGAACGUGGCGGUACUUUGCGUUCUCCUGGCAGCGGGACAGGUGAGCAGUGACAUCGACACGCUGUUCCGGGAAGAGAUCCCGCGCCGGCCGCGUGCCAGCAAGCCGCGCGUGGAGGACCCGGCCGCCUACGACGUGU